RNAcentral lists this unclassified non-coding RNA (203 nucleotides) under soil metagenome. RNAcentral describes it as "partial contains small subunit ribosomal RNA, internal transcribed spacer 1, and 5.8S ribosomal RNA". The record is from RNAcentral.
UUUCCGUAGGUGAACCUGCGGAAGGAUCAUUAUCGUGGGGCUCCGGCCCCGUCGAGAUAGAACCCUUGCCUUUUCGAGUACCGUCCGUUUCCUCGGCAGGCCCGCCUGCCAACGGGGACCCCAAACAAACUCUUUUAUGUACCUGUACCCGUCUGAACAACAAACAAAAGUUAAAACUUUCAACAACGGAUCUCUUGGUUCUG